AUUGAACGCUGGCGGCAGGCCUAACACAUGCAAGUCGAACGAGUGGCGGACGGGUGAGUAAUGUCUGGGAAACUGCCUGAUGGAGGGGGAUAACUACUGGAAACGGUAGCUAAUACCGCAUACCAUCAGAUGUGCCCAGAUUGGAUUAUCUUGUUGGUGGGGUAACGGCUCACAAAGGCGACGAUCCCUAGCUGUACUGAGAGGAUGACCAGCCACACUGGAACUGAGACCAGGUCCAGACUCCUAGGGGAGGCAGCAGUGGGGAAUAUUGCACAACGGGCGAAAGCCGGAUGCAGCCAUGCCGCGUGUAUGUAGAAGGCCUUCGGGUUGUAAAAUACUUUCAGCGGGGAGGCGUUACCCGCAGAAGAAGCACCGGCUAACUCCGUGCCAGCAGCCGCGGUAAAAC
RNAcentral lists this ribosomal RNA (406 nucleotides) under uncultured bacterium. Its description in RNAcentral is "partial 16S ribosomal RNA". It matches the Rfam family "Bacterial small subunit ribosomal RNA", at positions 30 to 526 of the family's 1533-position model. The record is from RNAcentral.